RNAcentral lists this ribosomal RNA (253 nucleotides) under uncultured bacterium. RNAcentral describes it as "partial 16S ribosomal RNA". It matches the Rfam family "Bacterial small subunit ribosomal RNA", at positions 524 to 776 of the family's 1533-position model. The record is from RNAcentral.
UACGUAGGGUGCAAGCGUUGUCCGGAAUUAUUGGGCGUAAAGAGCUUGUAGGCGGUUUGUCGCGUCUGCUGUGAAAUUUCGGGGCUCAACCCCGAACUUGCAGUGGGUACGGGCAGACUAGAGUGUGGUAGGGGAGACUGGAAUUCAUGGUGUAGCAGUGAAAUGCGUGGAUAUCAGGAGGAACACCGGUGGCGAAGGCGCACAUCUGGCCCGAUACUGACGCUGAGGCGCGAAAGCUAGGGGAGCAAACGGG